CCUACGGGUGGCAGCAGUGGGGAAUAUUGCACAAUGGGGGAAACCCUGAUGCAGCGACGCCGCGUGAGUGAAGAAGUAUUUCGGUAUGUAAAGCUCUAUCAGCAGGGAAGUAAUAUCGACCUUUGGGUCGCCAGACGGUACCUGACUAAGAAGCACCGGCUAACUACGUGCCAGCAGCCGCGGUAAUUCGUAGGGGGCAAGCGUUAUCCGGAUAUACUGGGUGUAAAGGGAGCGUAGACGGCAGCACAAGUCUGAAGUGAAAGGACGGGGCUUAAGCCCGGAGCUGCUCUGGUAACUGUGCAGCUAGAGUGCAGGAGAGGUAAGUGGAAUUCCUAGUGUAGCGGUGAAAUGCGUAGAUAUUAGGAGGAACACCAGUGGCGAAGGCGGCUUACUGGACUGUAACUGACGUUGAGGCUCGAAAGCGUGGGGAGCAAACAGGAUUAGAUACCCCGGUAGUC
This 458-nucleotide ribosomal RNA is filed under the name uncultured bacterium. RNAcentral's name for it is "partial 16S ribosomal RNA". It matches the Rfam family "Bacterial small subunit ribosomal RNA", at positions 338 to 795 of the family's 1533-position model. The record is from RNAcentral.